AACCCUCAGCGCUUAGUAACCCCUAACUCAUUUCUCACACGUCAGAUCACCUGCUGCUGCCUUAACCUUUGCAGUCCCUGCAUUUUGCCCUCACAGCGUUUCAUACAGUUGCAGCGGAUCACCUUUCAGGGUGAUGAGCUGAUUAAUAUGUUUUCUCACUUGGCCGUAAGCAUCACAGCAUCCCGUGAGCAGGAACCAUGCCUGGUUUUUGGUUCAACAUUAUAUCCCCAGCACUUAGCCCAGGGCCGGCACAUAGUAGGCUCUCGACAAAUAUUUCAUGAGUGAAAGGCUAGAAGUUCAAAAGACGGGUGGACUGGGAGGUCAGAGCAUCUCGAGGAAGACUCACAUUCUCCCCCACCGUGUUGCCCGGAUGGUACUUCCACGAUUUAUCCUGCUCGGAGCCAUUCUCCUUUUCUGGCUUGCCUUAGCCAGAGUCAGUUUCUGCUGUUUGCAACCAAACCACCUUUCCAUUAUGUAAACUCUCUGGGCCUCAGUUUCCUUAUCUGUAAAAAGGGGAUAAUAACAGCGCCUUCCAUUUAUUCAUUUUAAUAAGGAUUACAUCCGUGAUUUCAUUCAACGUUCACCAUGAUGAGGAUGAGGAGGAAGAGGAAGAUGGUAUCAUGUGUAUUUCCUAUUGCUGCUGUAACAAAUUCCCACAAACUUUGUGGCUGGAAAUAACUAAAUUUCUUUUCCUUACAGCUCUGGAGAUCAAAAGUCCAAAGCGGAUCAGCAGGGCUUGUUCCUUCCGGAGGCUCCAGAGGAGAAUCUGUUUCCUGGCCUUUUCUAGCUUCUAAAGGCUGCCGGCAGUCCUUGGUUCAGGGCCCCACAUCACUCCAACCUCUGUUCUGGUUUCGCCUCUCCUCUGAUUCUCCCUCUAAGGACCCUUGUGACUGCAUUGGGCCCAUCCAGAUAACCCAUGAUCUUCUCCCCAUCUCAAGAUCCUUCGCUCCAUCUGCAAACUCACCUGCAAAGUCCCUUUUGCCAUGGAAGGUAAUAGAGUCACAGGGUCCGGGGAUGAGGAUGUAGAUAUCUUUGGAGGGCUCUUACUCAGCCUACCACCCCAUGUGUCCCAAGUUUUGGUUUAAAGCUUCCAGGAAAAAUAAGCUAUCUUUCCUGCCUUCAAAUUGCUUAUAAUCCUGUUGGGGAGACAAAACAUUUCCACAGUCCACAAAGACCCAGGCAGUGUGGUCCCUGCUGUGGUGGGAGGUGGAGGUGAUGUGUUGAGAAGAUGAAGAUGAAGCAGGGAGCCUUCCCCCCAGGCCUCUCCUGUCCCCAGAGCCGCAGCCUACAGCCUUGUAGGCCACGCCCACCCAAAUCCAGGGGGGCCACCUUCCCAGGCGCUAGGAUGUGAAUGCUGUCCCCUGGAGGUGUGUGACACAGUGUCCCUGCCUUCUCCUCGUAGGAAGUGGGAGGCUCUGGGAAAGGCAAGAUGGAACCUCUUCACUAGAUCAGCAGAAGCCUUUGCUUUCUAGUUUUAUUGAGUGCUCUGGUCUGAAUGUUUGUGUUCCCCCCAAAUUCACAUGUUGAAAUCUUAACCCCUAAAGGUGAUGGUAGGAGGUGGUGGGGCGUUUGGGAGGUGCUUACGUUGUGAGGGUAAACCCUUGUGAAUGGGAUUAGUGCCCUUAUAAAAGAGAUCCCAGAGAGACCCCUUCUCCUUCUGCCGUGUGAGGACACAACAAGAAGUCUGCGACCCUCAUCUGAACACGCUGGCACCCUGACCUCAGACUUCCAGCCUCCAGAACCGUGAGCAACAAAUUUCUGUUAUUUACAAACUACCCAGUUUGUGGUAUUUGGUUAUAGCAGGCUGAACGGACUAGACAUUGAUGCUUGGUAAGUUUCAUUUGGACUCUGGGGAGGAGGUUCUCAGUGUUAAGUGGGGCUAAGCAUCUGGAAGGUUAAUUGAUGAUAAAGAGGGGUGAGGGUCAGGGUAAAGGCAUGUUCCCCUCCUCCAACUUCCCAGAGCCCAGAAGAAAUUGUAUCAUAUCAGUUAGAAACGGGGCGGGAUGGUCCAAAGAACAAGAAAUCAGCUACUACAUCAUAUGCCAUGUGACACCCCACGUGAGUUCUGCAAAAGCAUGAACCUGGCAGAUCUGUCAUUGAGACAGUAGAACACCACUGUCAAGACCGAUAAAGACAGGCUGUGAGCGAUUUAACUGAAGUAGCCGGAAGGGAGACCAGCACUACAUGUCCAAAUAGGCUUGGCCCAGCCCCCCAGCCCUCAGGUAACUGACUCUGGGUCUGGCACGUGGCUGGAAUGAAUUGGGUCAUUCACUGGUGAAUCCUGGGUUUUUCAACUGGUAUCUGUUCUGGGACCUGGUCCGUGCAACUCUGCUUUUCUAGAGUAAAAAUUGUGAUGUGUGUCUCAGUAAGGAUUACCUGAUGUGUGUGAGCUAUGUGACAAAUAGAAAAGUCUCAAAAUUUACUUCUACAUUGAAUUUUUUUUACAAAAAAACUUUAUUUAGAUAUAAUUCACAUACCAUAAAUUCCCACAUUUAAAGUGAACAAGUGAAGAAUUCUUUUGUAUAUUCAGAAUUGAGCAACCAUCACUGCACUCAAUUUUAGAACAUUUUCAUCAUCGCCAAAAGACACCCUAUACUCACUCCCCAUUUCCUCCCAAUAUCUACUCCCCAGCCACUGGUAGCCACUAAUCUUACUUUCUAUCUCUAUGGAUUUGCUUGUUCUGGACGUUUCAUAUAAAUAGAAUCUAAUGAUAUGCAGUCCUUUGUCACUGGCUUCUUUCACUGAGCAUGAUGUUUUCAUGGCCCAUCCAUGCUAUAGUAUGCAUCAUAGUUCAUUCCUUUUUACAGCUGACUAAUAUUCCAUUGUACGGAUAGACCACAUCUUCUUUACCCGUUCAUCAAAGGAUGGACAUUUGGGUUACUGAUACUUUUGGCUAUGAACAGAGAGUAAUGUGAGUAUAGACAGUACUGCUGCUAUGAACAUUCGUGUACAGGUUUUUGUGUGGACAUGUUUCACUUCUUUUGGGUACAUGCCUAGGAGUGGAAUUGCUGGGUCAUAUAGUAACUCUUUUGAGGAACGGCCAGUUUGUCUUCCGAAGCAGCUGCACCAUUUGACAUUCCCACCAGCAAUGUACGAGGGUUCCCAUUUCUCCAGAUCCUCCCCAAGGCUUGUCAUUUUCCAUUGCUGUUGCUGUUGUUACUAGUUAGGCUGUUUUGAUGGCCAUCCUGGUGGAACUGGAGUGGUUUUGAUUUGCAGUUCUCUGAUGGCUAAUGAUGGUGAGCAUCUUUUCACGUGCUUAUUGGCCAUUCGCAUGUCUUCCUUGGAGAAGUGGCUAUUCAGAUCCUUUGCCCAUUUUAUAAUUGGGUACAUUUAAUUUUGAAUGGUCUCCUUAACAAUUACACAUUGGAACCACUAUAGAAUUGAUUCACGGUGGGCGCUCUGAAGUCAAUGGCCUGGAUUUGAAUCCCAGCUUGGCCACUUGACAGUAGAUAACUUGAACAUUCUCUCCGGACCUCAGUUUUUUCCACCUACACAAUGGGGGACAGAAAUAUUAGCUGCUUCAUAGGGUUGUUGUGAGGAUUAAAAAAGGCAGUGUGUGUCAAAGGCUUGGUAAAGCUUAAUCAGGGCUCAGAAAAUAUUACCCAUAAUAGCAGCGUCGUCAAUACUUAGUAAGCUCUUUCUAUUUUACUAUAUGCACAUAGGCGUUCUCAUUUAAUCUACCUGGCAAUCUUGCAAAAUAGGUAUCACCAACUGCAUUUUGCAAGUGAGAAAACAAAGCUCAGGGAGGUGAAGGGGGGCGUCCAGGGCUCCAUAGCUGGGAAGAGGCAGAGCAGAGGUUCCUGCCCAGCUCUGGACCACUCCAGGGCCCUCUGCAAAUGUUACUCUUGGCAAAGUUUUUAGCUUGAAUCGGCAUCUCCUCUUGCAGCUUCUGCUAUUCAAAUGCAACCGUCAUUAAGCAAAUGCUGUCAGAAAGGAAUCAGAGAAGAACCCAGUAACGAAAUCAUCAACAGCUUAUUCAGGCAGAGAAAAGCUAGAGCAACCCCAAGAAGCAUGUGUUUCUCUCGUUUGGGGCUGGCUUUUGAGUCAGAGGAUCUUUUCACAUAGUCCUGGCCUGCUCUCCCUGUUUAGUAUGGCCUCUCUAAGAACCUCACGGGGCUAGCUGGGAAACAGUGAAAGGCAAGCAUCCAUCAUCGCUCCCUCUUCUGGAACCACUACUUGGGAGUUCUGUGUAGUUCCCCAUAGCGACAUUGGGUGUCACCGUUGAGUUGUCUGAAGCCAAUCUCCCCUGGAAAUUGACAAAACGUGUCGUUUUCCAAGAGUUUCUGGUUCUCUGAGAUCCAGUUUGGAGGUAUUCAGCUCCCAACUCAGCCUGGAUAAUCUGGUUCUCAUUUGCGGGGCCAGCGUGGUCCUGCAAGAAGAGGGCUCCUUGCAGCUGAUUCAGUUUGGGGUUUGAAAAUGGGCUCCAUGGCCGUGACUCGGGAACUGACUUCUCUUCAAAAGUGGGUGAGGACAUAAGGAUGAGAGAGUUUAUGCAAAGCCGCUACAACUUACGGCUCUUCUCUCCCAGAUUCUCUGCGCUGUCCCUUCUCAGAGCAGCCUGACUUCUGGCCCAGCGAACAUGCACUGUGCAUCCGCUUCAAACAUUUUCCCGAAGCAAAGAAUGCCCUCUUUAAAGAGAGGGAUGGGUGUCUCCUUUUCUCUGACGCCAAUACCAUCACUUCUUUGAAGAUGAGUUUUCUUCUCAGAGAACCAAGGUCAAGUUGACCUGCUGUGUAUGUGCUAAACUUCGGCAAAACAUCUCCUUGUGACUUGGGGAAAAUAAUUGCAUUCCUGUCAUGCCUGACAUAUCUUCUUCGUUCUGAAAUGGUAUAUAACCAUGCUGUCAACCACACUUCUCUGGGGUGCUUUCUGCCCUGGUGGCGAUGGCACUUCCGGGCUUGUCCUCAACAUUAGCUCAUUAAAUAUCUUUCUUAUCUA
Long non-coding RNA from Equus caballus (horse), 4938 nucleotides. RefSeq lists it as uncharacterized. The record is from RefSeq and is a predicted model, not a curated record. NCBI's taxonomy places the organism in Eukaryota, Metazoa, Chordata, Mammalia, Perissodactyla, Equidae.